Molecule: ribosomal RNA, 209 nt
Filed under: uncultured Staphylococcus sp.
Lineage: Bacteria; Bacillati; Bacillota; Bacilli; Caryophanales; Staphylococcaceae
Description: partial 16S ribosomal RNA
Rfam family: Bacterial small subunit ribosomal RNA
Source: RNAcentral
AAACCGGAGCUAAUACCGGAUAAUAUAUUGAACCGCAUGGUUCAAUAGUGAAAGACGGUUUUUGCUGUCACUUAUAGAUGGAUCCGCGCCGCAUUAGCUAGUUGGUAAGGUAACGGCUUACCAAGGCAACGAUGCGUAGCCGACCUGAGAGGGUGAUCGGCCACACUGGAACUGAGACACGGUCCAGACUCCUACGGGAGGCAGCAGUC